Molecule: non-coding RNA, 29 nt
Filed under: Mus musculus (house mouse)
Lineage: Eukaryota; Metazoa; Chordata; Mammalia; Rodentia; Muridae
Source: RNAcentral
UGAGCAGAAUUCAGUCUGGCAGCCUGGGA